RNAcentral lists this ribosomal RNA (252 nucleotides) under uncultured bacterium. RNAcentral describes it as "partial 16S ribosomal RNA". It matches the Rfam family "Bacterial small subunit ribosomal RNA", at positions 524 to 776 of the family's 1533-position model. The record is from RNAcentral.
UACGUAGGUGACAAGCGUUGUCCGGAUUUAUUGGGCGUAAAGCGAGCGCAGGCGGUCUUUAAGUCUGAUGUGAAAGCCCACGGCUCAACCGUGGAGGGUCAUUGGAAACUGGAAGACUUGAAUGCAGAAGAGGAAAGUGGAAUUCCAUGUGUAGCGGUGAAAUGCGUAGAUAUAUGGAGGAACACCAGUGGCGAAGGCGACUUUCUGGUCUGUAAUUGACGCUGAGGCUCGAAAGCGUGGGGAGCGAACAGG